RNAcentral lists this long non-coding RNA (312 nucleotides) under Elaeis guineensis (African oil palm). Its description in RNAcentral is "long non-coding RNA (EGUI_LNC041487)". The record is from RNAcentral. Lineage: Eukaryota; Viridiplantae; Streptophyta; Magnoliopsida; Arecales; Arecaceae.
AUUAUUUCUAAGAAUUCUUGACCAAUCCUUCCUCCUAAUUAGAUCAAGGAUCCUUUACUAUUACAACUUACUUUUUCGAAAAGGAUGGCCCCUAUUGGGCUAACUCUCUGAAUCGAACUUCACAGUACCCUUCGAUGCCUGCGCUCUUGUCAUCGAAUCUGAUCUCCAUUAACUUAUGGGUUGGCGAAUCCAGAUGAGAUAGCUGAUUCUCCUCUAACCGAUUUCUUUAAAUAAUAGACCUCUAGUAGUCCUCAGACUUCGAUAUCAGAGGAGGGAUCGAAUAUCAGACAUCAGCCAAUUCUCUUGAAGGCA